UCCCUGGUUGCUCAGUGGGUUAAAGAUCCAGCACUGUCACUGCUGUGGUACAGGUUUGAUCCCUGGCCUGGGAA
RNAcentral lists this transfer RNA (74 nucleotides) under Sus scrofa (pig). It matches the Rfam family "tRNA". Rfam says of the family: Transfer RNA (tRNA) molecules are approximately 80 nucleotides in length. Their secondary structure includes four short double-helical elements and three loops (D, anti-codon, and T loops). The record is from Rfam by way of RNAcentral. Lineage: Eukaryota; Metazoa; Chordata; Mammalia; Artiodactyla; Suidae.